GAUGAACGCUGGCGGCGUGCUUAACACAUGCAAGUCGAACGAUGAAGCCCAGCUUGCCGGGUGUACUAGUGUCGAACGGGUGUGUAACACGCGAGUAUCCUGCCCUUAACUCUGUGAUAUGCCUGCGAGACACGGGCUCAUACCGGGUAGAAGCGCCCCCCCCAUGUUGGGUGUUUGGAAGAUUUUUCGGUUUUGGAUGGACUCGCGGCCUAUCAGCUUGUUGGGGUGGUGAUGGCUCACCAAGGCGACGACGGGUAGCCGGCCUGAGAGGGUGACCGGCCACACUGGGACUGAGACACGGCCCAGACUCCUACGGGAGGCAGCAGUGGGGAAUAUUGCACAAUGGGCGCAAGCCUGAUGCAGCGACGCCGCGUGAGGGAUGACGGCCUUCGGGUUGUAAACCGCUUUCAGUAGGGAAGAAGCGAAAGUGACGGUACCUGCAGAAGAAGCACCGGCUAACUACGUG
RNAcentral lists this ribosomal RNA (466 nucleotides) under uncultured bacterium. Its description in RNAcentral is "partial 16S ribosomal RNA". It matches the Rfam family "Bacterial small subunit ribosomal RNA", at positions 28 to 507 of the family's 1533-position model. The record is from RNAcentral.